This 315-nucleotide unclassified non-coding RNA is filed under the name Clavispora lusitaniae. Its description in RNAcentral is "sequence contains 18S rRNA gene, ITS1, 5.8S rRNA gene, ITS2, 28S rRNA gene". The stretch from base 77 to 226 matches the Rfam family "5.8S ribosomal RNA". Lineage: Eukaryota; Fungi; Ascomycota; Pichiomycetes; Serinales; Metschnikowiaceae. The record is from RNAcentral.
GAUCAUUAAAAAGAAUUAUACACUUUGCAUUUGCGAACAAAAAAAUAAAUUUUUUUAUUCGAAUCAUUUAAAUCAAAACUUUCAACAACGGAUCUCUUGGUUCUCGCAUCGAUGAAGAACGCAGCGAAUUGCGAUACGUAGUAUGACUUGCAGACGUGAAUCAUCGAAUCUUUGAACGCACAUUGCGCCUCGAGGCAUUCCUCGAGGCAUGCCUGUUUGAGCGUCGCAUCCCCUCUAACCCCCGGUUAGGCGUUGCUCCGAAAUAUCAACCGCGCUGUCAAACACGUUUACAGCACGACAUUUCGCCCUCAAAUC